This 253-nucleotide ribosomal RNA is filed under the name uncultured bacterium. Its description in RNAcentral is "partial 16S ribosomal RNA". It matches the Rfam family "Bacterial small subunit ribosomal RNA", at positions 524 to 776 of the family's 1533-position model. The record is from RNAcentral.
UACGUAGGGUGCAAGCGUUAAUCGGAAUUACUGGGCGUAAAGCGUGCGCAGGCGGUGAUGUAAGACAGGUGUGAAAUCCCCGGGCUUAACCUGGGAACUGCAUUUGUGACUGCAUCGCUGGAGUGCGGCAGAGGGGGAUGGAAUUCCGCGUGUAGCAGUGAAAUGCGUAGAUAUGCGGAGGAACACCGAUGGCGAAGGCAGCCUCCUGGGCCAACACUGACGCUCAUGCACGAAAGCGUGGGGAGCAAACAGG